RNAcentral lists this ribosomal RNA (390 nucleotides) under uncultured bacterium. RNAcentral's name for it is "bacterial SSU rRNA". It matches the Rfam family "Bacterial small subunit ribosomal RNA", at positions 28 to 417 of the family's 1533-position model. The record is from RNAcentral.
GACGAACGCUGGCGGCGUGCUUAACACAUGCAAGUCGAGCGGUAAGGCCCUUUCGGGGGUACGACGAGCGGCGAACGGGUGAGUAACACGUGGGUGACCUGCCCUCCAGCUCUGGGAUAAGCCCGGGAAACUGGGUCUAAUACCGGAUAUGACUUCAUGACGCAUGUUGUGGAGUGGAAAGCCUUGUGCGGCUGAGGAUGGGCCCGCGGCCUAUCAGCUUGUUGGUGGGGUGAUGGCCUACCAAGGCGACGACGGGUAGCCGGCCUGAGAGGGCGACCGGCCACACUGGGACUGAGAUACGGCCCAGACUCCUACGGGAGGCAGCAGUGGGGAAUCUUGCGCAAUGGGCGAAAGCCUGACGCAGCGACGCCGCGUGAGGGAUGACGGCCU